GUCGAGCGAACAGACGAGGAGCUUGCUCCUCUGACGUUAGCGGCGGACGGGUGAGUAACACGUGGAUAACCUACCUAUAAGACUGGGAUAACUUCGGGAAACCGGAGCUAAUACCGGAUAAUAUAUUGAACCGCAUGGUUCAAUAGUGAAAGACGGUUUUGCUGUCACUUAUAGAUGGAUCCGCGCCGCAUUAGCUAGUUGGUAAGGUAACGGCUUACCAAGGCAACGAUGCGUAGCCGACCUGAGAGGGUGAUCGGCCACACUGGAACUGAGACACGGUCCAGACUCCUACGGGAGGCAGCAGUAGGGUAUCUUCCGCAAUGGGCGAAAGCCUGACGGAGCAACGCCGCGUGAGUGAUGAAGGUCUUCGGAUCGUAAAACUCUGUUAUUAGGGAAGAACAAAUGUGUAAGUAACUAUGCACGUCUUGACGGUACCUAAUCAGAAAGCCACGGCUAACUACGUGCCAGCAGCCGCGGUAAUACGUAGGUGGCAAGCGUUAUCCGGAAUUAUUGGGGGUAAAGCGCGCGUAGGCGGUUUUUUAAGUCUGAUGUGAAAGCCCACGGCUCAACCGUGGAGGGUCAUUGGAAACUGGAAAACUUGAGUGCAGAAGAGGAAAGUGGAAUUCCAUGUGUAGCGGUGAAAUGCGCAGAGAUAUGGAGGAACACCAGUGGCGAAGGCGACUUUCUGGUCUGUAACUGACGCUGAUGUGCGAAAGCGUGGGGAUCAAACAGGAUUA
Molecule: ribosomal RNA, 737 nt
Filed under: uncultured Staphylococcus sp.
Lineage: Bacteria; Bacillati; Bacillota; Bacilli; Caryophanales; Staphylococcaceae
Description: bacterial SSU rRNA
Rfam family: Bacterial small subunit ribosomal RNA
Source: RNAcentral